UGUGGUGACGAUGGCGAGAAGGAUACACCUGUUCCCAUGUCGAACACAGAAGUUAAGCUUCUUAGCGCCGAGAGUAGUUGGGGGAU
This 86-nucleotide ribosomal RNA is filed under the name Lactiplantibacillus pentosus. RNAcentral also lists the same sequence under 2 other names. The record is from RNAcentral. Lineage: Bacteria; Bacillati; Bacillota; Bacilli; Lactobacillales; Lactobacillaceae.